UCUGUGGACUGUUAUAUAAACGAGAAUAGAUAGACAAUGAACUUCUGCGAAGUUCAUUGUCAUUGAAAUUGGACAGGUUGAAACAGAAA
Molecule: non-coding RNA, 89 nt
Filed under: unclassified sequences
Description: RAGATH-18 RNA
Rfam family: RAGATH-18 RNA
About the family: Actinobacteria, Firmicutes, Fusobacteria, Thermotogae (1 example).
Source: Rfam by way of RNAcentral